This 429-nucleotide ribosomal RNA is filed under the name Actinomycetes bacterium. RNAcentral describes it as "Actinobacteria bacterium partial 16S ribosomal RNA". It matches the Rfam family "Bacterial small subunit ribosomal RNA", at positions 355 to 776 of the family's 1533-position model. The record is from RNAcentral. Lineage: Bacteria; Bacillati; Actinomycetota; Actinomycetes.
UAGUGAAUCUUCCGCAAUGGGCGAAAGCCUGACGGAGCAACGCCGCGUGAGUGAUGAAGGUCUUCGGAUCGUAAAACUCUGUUAUUAGGGAAGAACAAAUGUGUAAGUAACUAUGCACGUCUUGACGGUACCUAAUCAGAAAGCCACGGCUAACUACGUGCCAGCAGCCGCGGUAAUACGUAGGUGGCAAGCGUUAUCCGGAAUUAUUGGGCGUAAAGCGCGCGCAGGCGGUUUUUUAAGUCUGAUGUGAAAGCCCACGGCUCAACCGUGGAGGGUCAUUGGAAACUGGAAAACUUGAGUGCAGAAGAGGAAAGUGGAAUUCCAUGUGUAGCGGUGAAAUGCGCAGAGAUAUGGAGGAACACCAGUGGCGAAGGCGACUUUCUGGUCUGUAACUGACGCUGAUGUGCGAAAGCGUGGGGAUCAAACAGG